AGGGGGGGUUUGAUCCUGGCUCAGAAUGAACGUUGGCGGCGUGGAUUAGGCAUGCAAGUCGGGCGCCCCGCGAGGGGCGUGGCGCAAGGGUGAGUAAGGCGACGGCAACCAACCCCCCGGCUGGGUAUAGCCGCGGGAAACUGCGGGUAAUCCCCAGCGACGUCGCGGCGGUGGCAUCACCGCCCGACCAAAGGUGCGAUUCCGCCGGGGGACGGGCCGUCGUGGUAUCAGCUUGUUGGCGGGGUAACGGCCCACCAAGGCUGGGACGCCUACCGGGCGUGCGAGCGUGGCCCGGCACACUGGGACUGAGACACUGCCCAGACACCUACGGGUGGCUGCAGUCGAGAAUCUUCGACAAUGGGCGCAAGCCUGACCGAGCGACGCCGCGUGGAGGACGACGGCCUUCGGGUUGUAAACUCCUGUCGAGGGGGAACAAGGCCGCGCGAAGAGCGCGGCUUGAGUGAGCCCUGGAGGAAGCACGGGCUAAGUUCGUGCCAGCAGCCGCGGUAAGACGAACCGUGCGAACGUUAUUCGGAAUCACUGGGCUUAAAGCGCGUGUAGGCGGGCCGGCACGUCGGUCGCUGAAAUCCCCCGGCUCAACCGGGGAAGUGGCGCCGAUACGACCGGCCUGGANGGGGGGGUANGGGGGAGCCGGAACUCACGGGUGGAGCGGUGAAAUGCGUUGAGAUCGUGAGGAACGCCCGUGGCGAAAGCGGGCUCCUGGACCCC
RNAcentral lists this ribosomal RNA (729 nucleotides) under uncultured bacterium. Its description in RNAcentral is "bacterial SSU rRNA". It matches the Rfam family "Bacterial small subunit ribosomal RNA", at positions 9 to 737 of the family's 1533-position model. The record is from RNAcentral.